This 360-nucleotide ribosomal RNA is filed under the name Triticum aestivum (bread wheat). Its description in RNAcentral is "partial small subunit ribosomal RNA". The record is from RNAcentral. Lineage: Eukaryota; Viridiplantae; Streptophyta; Magnoliopsida; Poales; Poaceae.
AUGAUUCAAGCUCAAACCCUUUUUAAUGUAGCAGAUAAUAGUGGAGCUCGAAAAUUGAUGUGUAUUCGACUCAUAGUAGUUGCUGGUAAUCAACGAUAUGCUUGUAUUGGUGAUAUUAUUGUUUUUGUAAUCAAAGGCGCAUUGCCCCAAAUGCCUCUAGAAAGAUCCAAAGUAAUUGAAAAUGUAAUUAUACAUACAUGUAAAGAGUUCAAAUGCGAAGAUGGUAUAAUAAUCCGCUAUGAUGACAAUGCUGCGGUUAUAAUUGAUCAAAAAGGUAAUAAAAAGGAACUCGAGUUUUUGAUGCGAUUGCCGAGGAUUGAGAGAAUUGAAUUUUACCAGAAUAGUUUCAUUAGCCCCUGA